This 866-nucleotide long non-coding RNA is filed under the name Homo sapiens (human). RNAcentral describes it as "HSALNT0315981". Lineage: Eukaryota; Metazoa; Chordata; Mammalia; Primates; Hominidae. The record is from RNAcentral.
CUUGGAGCCGCAGGGCUUAAUCCCGCGCGGCUCAGAGAUGGGUUUCUGGACUCGCGAAGCAGCUGCAACAAGGCAUCACUCACUGUAUAAGUAUUUCCAUUUCUGAGAGCAAAAGGAAGAACUUAAGCGGGCGGCACUUGGAGUGUAAAUUGCUUUGUAGUAUUUAAAGGCAGAAUGGAUCCUGGGCAGCCGAGCUGCAACAAACCGGCAGGACUUCCUGUGAAAUCAUGACCACCAUGUGCUCUUUCAGCCUCUAUCAGUUCCUACCUCUAAGCACCUGAGAGCCAAAGCAAACCACAGGAAACCACAGAAUGAAAGCCAAGCAUAUUCCAUCAUUUCCUAAAACCAAGAUAGAGCACAUAUGGGAACUUGUGAAAUAAGGAUGCCCUGCGGUUGUUUUCAGGACUGAAGACAACAGCUCCACGAUGAAACCAAAGCACAAAGAGAGAAAGAAAAGAAAGAGAAAAAAGGAAGAAAGAAAAGAAAGAUGAAAGAAAGAAAGAGAAAGAAGAGAGAGGGAGAGAGAGAAAGAAAGAGAAGGAAAGAAAGAAGGAAGAAGAAAGAAAGAAAGAAAGAAAGAAAGAAAGAAAGAAAGAAAGAAAGAAAGAAAGAAAGAAAGAAAGAAAGAAAAAAGGAAGGAAGGAAAAGAAACACAUGGAAAGUGCUUCUUUGGACCUUUUAAGUUGCAUUAUCCCAUAAAAUGUGGUGGAUUCAAUGUUGUAUGGCCUGUAAAACUAAGUAAUGAAGGCUGAUAUGUACCCACCUGGCUCUGUCUUGGGAUCACACAACUUGGGAGCCAAAACAGAUUGCAAAUGAUGUUCAAAUCAAGGACUGGCUUAAGGGAGAAAAUCAAUUAUACUGUACAA